This 174-nucleotide small RNA is filed under the name Arabidopsis thaliana (thale cress). RNAcentral describes it as "ATSL096900". The record is from RNAcentral. Lineage: Eukaryota; Viridiplantae; Streptophyta; Magnoliopsida; Brassicales; Brassicaceae.
UUCAAGUUUUUCUAAAAUAAAGAAUCAGAGUAUGCCGGAUAAUACUUUUAAUUUUGGAUGCCUAAUAAAUCAUGCUUCUAGUUCAUUCAUAUUCAAAAUCAUUUUGGUUCUUUUUAUAGUAAGAGUCUGAACCAUUUUCGCAAUAUCUUAAGCAAUGUGGGACCUUUUUCACUU